Long non-coding RNA from Sipha flava (yellow sugarcane aphid), 329 nucleotides. RefSeq lists it as uncharacterized. The transcript has 3 exons. NCBI's taxonomy places the organism in Eukaryota, Metazoa, Arthropoda, Insecta, Hemiptera, Aphididae. The record is from RefSeq and is a predicted model, not a curated record.
GCAUGUACAAUAUGAAACGGUUAAGUAACAAUAUAAAUUGUGUGGUUCACCUGACUCAUUGGAAUGAGAAUGAAAAUUUGAUAACAUUUUGGCCGACGGUACUUGGCCAGCAAGAGUUGCCUUUUCGAGACUUCGACAGAACGUCAACAGAAAAAAGAAGCAAUUAUAAUUUGAUAUUGAAGAUCUUGAACGCUGGAAGGACCAUUUGUUUAAUGUAAUUCACUAUGGAUUUGUUAAAAACCACUUUCAGUAAAAACUAUUACAUGUAAUGACUCGCACUCCCAGGAUCGGCAUGGAGUAUACAUUGGCCAUUAUUUAUGGUAAGGUCG